GAGCUGUUAGCUCAGUUGGUAGAGCAUCUGACUUUUAAUCAGAGGGUCGCUGGUUCGAACCCAGCACGGCUCA
RNAcentral lists this transfer RNA (73 nucleotides) under Listeria monocytogenes. Its description in RNAcentral is "tRNA-Lys". It matches the Rfam family "tRNA". Rfam says of the family: Transfer RNA (tRNA) molecules are approximately 80 nucleotides in length. Their secondary structure includes four short double-helical elements and three loops (D, anti-codon, and T loops). Further hydrogen bonds mediate the characteristic L-shaped molecular structure. tRNAs have two regions of fundamental functional importance: the anti-codon, which is responsible for specific mRNA codon recognition, and the 3' end, to which the tRNAs corresponding amino acid is attached (by aminoacyl-tRNA synthetases). tRNAs cope with the degeneracy of the genetic code in two manners: having more than one tRNA (with a specific anti-codon) for a particular amino acid; and 'wobble' base-pairing, i.e. permitting non-standard base-pairing at the 3rd anti-codon position. The record is from RNAcentral. Lineage: Bacteria; Bacillati; Bacillota; Bacilli; Caryophanales; Listeriaceae.